AUACGGGGGGUGCGAAUGUUGUUCGGAAUCACUGGGCGUAAAGCGCGCGCAGGCGGCUUGGUAAGUCAGAUGUGAAAGCCCCGGGCUCAACCCGGGAAGUGCAUUUGAAACUGUCAGGCUUGAGUGCGGUAGAGGGAGGUGGAAUUCUCAGUGUAGAGGUGAAAUUCGUAGAUAUUGAGAGGAACACCGGUGGCGAAGGCGGCCUCCUGGACCGACACUGACGCUGAGGCGCGAAAGCGUGGGGAGCAAACAGGAUUAGAUACCCGUGUAGUCC
Molecule: ribosomal RNA, 274 nt
Filed under: uncultured bacterium
Lineage: Bacteria
Description: partial 16S ribosomal RNA
Rfam family: Bacterial small subunit ribosomal RNA
Source: RNAcentral